AUACGAAGGGGGCUAGCGUUGUUCGGAAUCACUGGGCGUAAAGCGCGCGUAGGUGGAUCAAUUAGUUGAGGGUGAAAUCCCGGGGCUCAACCUCGGAACUGCCUUCAAUACUGUUGAUCUUGAGACCGAGAGAGGUGAGUGGAAUUCCUAGUGUAGAGGUGAAAUUCGUAGAUAUUAGGAAGAACACCAGUGGCGGAGGCGGCUCACUGGCUCGGUACUGACGCUGAGGUGCGAAAGCGUGGGGAGCAAACAGGAGUAGAAACCCUAGUAGUCC
This 274-nucleotide ribosomal RNA is filed under the name uncultured bacterium. RNAcentral describes it as "partial 16S ribosomal RNA". It matches the Rfam family "Bacterial small subunit ribosomal RNA", at positions 523 to 796 of the family's 1533-position model. The record is from RNAcentral.